GAUGAAGACGUAGCGAAAUGCGAUACGUAAUGUGAAUUGCAGAAUUCAGUGAAUCAUCGAGUCUUUGAACGCACAUUGCGCCCCCUGGUAUUCCGGGGGGCAUGCCUGUCCGAGCGUCAUUGCUGCCCUCAAGCACGGCUUGUGUGUUGGGCCUCCGUCCUCCUCCCGGGGGACGGGCCCGAAAGGCAGCGGCGGCACCGCGUCCGGUCCUCGAGCGUAUGGGGCUUCGUCACCCGCUCUUGUAGGCCCGGUCGGCGCUUGCCGACACAUCAAUCUUUUUUCCAGGUUGACCUCGGAUCAGGUAGGGAUACCCGCUGAACUUAAGCAUAUCAAUAAGCGGAGGA
This 344-nucleotide unclassified non-coding RNA is filed under the name soil metagenome. RNAcentral's name for it is "partial contains 5.8S ribosomal RNA, internal transcribed spacer 2, and large subunit ribosomal RNA". The stretch from base 1 to 119 matches the Rfam family "5.8S ribosomal RNA", at positions 35 to 154 of the family's 154-position model. The record is from RNAcentral.